Molecule: long non-coding RNA, 561 nt
Filed under: Canis lupus familiaris (dog)
Lineage: Eukaryota; Metazoa; Chordata; Mammalia; Carnivora; Canidae
Description: lncRNA (ENSCAFG00000038424.3)
Source: RNAcentral
CUUCCACUGGCUGGUCAUUGGCUGUGGCUCCUUGCCCAGGGAAGUGUAGCCCCCAGGCCCUGCCAACUCUCCUCCUUUGUGGGUGAUACUGCUCCAGGAGGCCAACCGCAGUCCUCUGAAGACAGCUCACAAGCGGAAGCCAUAAGAAAGCACACAAAAGCUGGAGAGAGAUAGCCAGAGUGGAAGUCUCCUCAUGGCAUAUGAAGUGACUGGGUAAGGAUAUAACCUCUAAAAGCCUCCAAGAAAUUCCUGAUUCUGUGAAAGUACAAGUAGGAUGAGAAGUUAUUGAGAGAGGAGCUGUGUUAUUCAAAGUGAAUGUUCACGGGUCAGUGUCAGCAAAUGAUAUCUGUAACAUGUUGCUAAUGCAGGUAAAAUUAGGUUGGAGCAAGAAGAUUGUGAAAUCUCAUGUUCCACAAUGGUCCGCUGAGCAAGUCAAAAUAGAGUUCGAUCUCCAUGAUUCAAAAUCUCCCAAUGGUGACCACACUGUCUCCGCUGUGAAUCUGGAAUGUUUGGGGAAUCCCAUUCCAUCAGAUGGUCUUCCCUCAAGUGUGUGCUACUCCA